Molecule: unclassified non-coding RNA, 331 nt
Filed under: soil metagenome
Description: partial contains 5.8S ribosomal RNA, internal transcribed spacer 2, and large subunit ribosomal RNA
Rfam family: 5.8S ribosomal RNA (bases 1-120)
Source: RNAcentral
GAUGAAGAACGCAGCGAAAUGCGAUAAGUAAUGUGAUUUGCAGAAUUCAGUGAAUCAUCGAAUCUUUGAACGCACAUUGCGCCCCCUGGUAUUCCGGGGGGCAUGCCUGUUCGAGCGUCAUUUCACCACUCAAGCCUCGCUUGGUAUUGGGCAACGCGGUCCGCCGCGUGCCUCAAAUCGACCGGCUGGGUCUUCUGUCCCCUAAGCGUUGUGGAAACUAUUCGCUAAAGGGUGUUCGGGAGGCUACGCCGUAAAACAACCCCAUUUCUAAGGUUGACCUCGGAUCAGGUAGGGAUACCCGCUGAACUUAAGCAUAUCAAUAAGCGGAGGA